Long non-coding RNA from Lotus japonicus, 1834 nucleotides. RefSeq lists it as uncharacterized. NCBI's taxonomy places the organism in Eukaryota, Viridiplantae, Streptophyta, Magnoliopsida, Fabales, Fabaceae. The transcript has 8 exons. The record is from RefSeq and is a predicted model, not a curated record.
UGAAAAUGUUGUGGAGCUCAAGAUAAGGAAAGGAAGACAAGAAACGUGAUUCAAAGCAAUUGAGAAAGGCGAGAAAGCAUCGGCUCGAGGACAAAGAAGAAGAUCUACAUGGAGAUUAUGAUUAUCAAGUCUCAGUCAGAGACCAAACAAAGCACUGCAAGAAUGGAUCAACAGAAAGCUACAGAAAAGGUAGACUAAACAGGUCAGGUCUUCACAAAGAUGAAGAUUGAGAAAAGAAGAGCAAGACUGACUCAUACAAAAAUGAGAAGAGCAAGACUAACUAUUUUACAAGGCUAAGACAAAAGUAAAACCAAGGUGUCUACAAGGAUAAAGCAGAGCAAAGAAGAGCAAGACCAAAGUCAAGCCAAUGCUAAGAAGAUCAAGAUCCUGAAUGCCUUGAGAAUAUGGUGAUGAAAAGCUUAAGACAAGUUUUAAAACAAAUAAGGCAAUUAUUCAUUUUUUAUACCUACUUUCUCUUUGGUCUUAUUUCCACUCACAUUUUUAUCAUCAUGUUACCGAUGAUUAUCAUAAUUGCUGCUAAAUUCACUCUACCACCACCCCGGUUCGAUUUGGAGCAUGGAGCUUCAGAACACUGUGAAGAUUGAGCUUAGGUUUGUGCGUUCGAAUCGUUUCAGUUAGAUCAUGUAGCUUCGCAAUCUCCAGAAUUUCCAAAAAAACCUAGAUGCGUGGCAGGUGGCUGGUAAUUUAUUUCAUGAUCCUAGUAGCAAUCUAGAAACCUUGAUAUUGUGCUCUCAAACCUUACGAAACAAGUUUCAACGAGGCUCCGAGGAACACUCUUCCACAACAUUCUGGCCAUUGCGUGACGAAUUAAAUGCGAGUGGACUCUUGAAUCUCUUGGUGCAUUUGGAACCUAGGAGAAGUGCACUUGAAGAAGAUUUCGAGGAGGAAGAAGAGAAAGAGGAUAAUGACCAGCCUAUUGAUGAGUUUGACGAUGGGGAAUAUGAUCAGAAGGAUUAUUAUUGUGGGUGAAGCCCUACAAGGGAAAGAAGGCUUGAUACAGUGAUAGUCAUAGAUACAGGCAUAUGAUCUGAAAGAAAAAUCCACAAGGAAUAAGGCUACUAGGAGGAUGACACUUCAUUGGACUUAAAAACUCUAGAUGUAAUUAUUAUUAUGAUCUUUCACAGAGAAGAACAAAAACUAGCUUUCAAAAAUGGGGAGGUGAGAUUUCUCUACUGGGAUAUUUUCGGCUCCUCUAGGUUCUGGUGGCCUUCCUAUUCCUUAUAUUGAUCAUUUUGGUAACAACGCUGAGAAGUAGGAUGUUGUAUUCAGGGAUCUAUCAUUUGUGACAGCUGUGAAACUGAUUUCUGGCGGUCCAAACUCCAAAGCCACCAACAAAUGGGUUUAAAUAGCCAUUGCAUACAAUAACUUUUAGCGGCACUAGUAAACACUGGAAAUUAUCACCGCUAACGGAUGUCGAGUUUUACCGGCCAUUCAUAACGUCUUUACCGGUGGCCGAUAUAAUCAUCGGCAUAGCCUUUACCGACCCCGAUACACUGGUGGAAAAGUCGUUGCGGCCCUUUUUAUUACCACUAAAGACAAUAUUUAUUGCCGAUAAAAGUAAUUUUUGUUGUAGUGUGUGAAUGAACUAUUAUUCCGAUAGUACAUCAAGCAACUUAAAAAAUUCCACUCAUAAAAAAUAAUCUCUUUGUAUGAAACAUUGAAUCACCUAGUGUUGUGGCUUCUACAUAUUUUGAAGUCCAAAUAUACUUUAGCAGUUUAGCCCUAAGUUGAAUUUUUUUUUUUUUGAAAUGCAUAAGUUGAAAGUUGAAUCUCUCACUUUAUAGUUUAAGCAAGUUUUUUGUAUCGAACUUAU